RNAcentral lists this unclassified non-coding RNA (332 nucleotides) under soil metagenome. RNAcentral describes it as "partial contains 5.8S ribosomal RNA, internal transcribed spacer 2, and large subunit ribosomal RNA". The stretch from base 1 to 120 matches the Rfam family "5.8S ribosomal RNA", at positions 35 to 154 of the family's 154-position model. The record is from RNAcentral.
GAUGAAGAACGCAGCGAAAUGCGAUAAGUAGUGUGAAUUGCAGAAUUCAGUGAAUCAUCGAAUCUUUGAACGCACAUUGCGCCCUUUGGUAUUCCUUAGGGCAUGCCUGUUCGAGCGUCAUUUAAACCUUCAAGCUAAGCUUGGUGUUGGGUGACUGUCCGCUUCACUGCGGACUCGCCUCAAAAUUAUUGGCGGCCGGUACAUUGGCUUCGAGCGCAGCAGAAACGCGAACUCGGGCCCGUCGUAUUGGCUCCCAGAAGCUAUCUUCACAAUUUUGACCUCGGAUCAGGUAGGGACACCCGCUGAACUUAAGCAUAUCAAUAGGCGGAGGA